UACGGGGGGAGCAAGCGUUGUUCGGAUUUACUGGGUGUAAAGGGCGCGUAGGCGGCCACCGCAAGUCAGUUGUGAAAUCUCUGGGCUUAACCCAGAAAGGUCAACUGAUACUGCGGGGCUAGAGUGCAGAAGGGGCAACUGGAAUUCUCGGUGUAGCGGUGAAAUGCGUAGAUAUCGAGAGGAACACCUGCGGCGAAGGCGGGUUGCUGGGCUGACACUGACGCUGAAGCGCGAAAGCUAGGGGAGCGAACGGG
RNAcentral lists this ribosomal RNA (254 nucleotides) under uncultured bacterium. Its description in RNAcentral is "partial 16S ribosomal RNA". It matches the Rfam family "Bacterial small subunit ribosomal RNA", at positions 524 to 776 of the family's 1533-position model. The record is from RNAcentral.